CGCGCGUCUGUGGUUGAAAGUCGAUGCCAGUCGCAGGCGAAACGAUCCACGUAAGCCGGGAAAAUUCCGGUGAGCAUGGUGCGGCUUAGAGGUAAGUCCUGCCAGCAUGUCCGGCUGUGCGCGCAAAGCGUGGCGGACGGCGGCUGAGAGGGGCAGUAGUGGGGAGGCAGAGUCCUUAGGAGCGAACCCUCCUGCAGGCGAGUGUGGGGUCAAAGACCAGGUCAGGCGCG
RNAcentral lists this non-coding RNA (230 nucleotides) under bovine gut metagenome. Its description in RNAcentral is "raiA RNA". It matches the Rfam family "raiA RNA". The record is from RNAcentral.